UGUUUCCGUAUUAGCAGCUAUGGAACCUAGUUAAUUCACUAGGAGUUUUAUGGUUAAGUGUUUGGACAGGCAGUCCCAUUCCAAUUGUAGACCUCGCGUAGUGGUAGAGCGCCCCUAGGGGGGUCGAUGACUUCGCGUAGUGGUAGAGCACCCCCUAGAGGUAGUGGUGGAUCGCCUCUAGGAGGUCGACGACCUCGCGUCGAAGUGCUGUGAUCCAUCUUGCUUGUCGUCGAGGGCGGUUUCCUCUAUUAACCUAUAUUAGAUUCCAAGAGAUACAUAUUCCUUCACGUCCUAGCCUUGAUAAUAUGGGACAAAAAUUCACAUCAAUAACAAAUGAGUUCGUUUAUGAUUGCAUAUUCUGGACAAGUAGGAAUUUCAAAUCAUCAACCCUGCCAUCAAAUAAUUAUGAAAGAUAGUUGGUCAUGAUAAGUGCAGUAUAUUGCCUUUCUAGGGAAGGAAUGGUGGCCCAUGUUUUUUAUGUGUCUGUUGUAUUACGUAACCAUUGCACAUAUAGCCUACCUUUGGUGCACUGGAUUAAGCCGUAUAAUUAAUUUAGUCUAAACAGAUAUUACCAGAUAGAUGGUAUUAUGGUAAAUUAAGGUGGAUAGUAUUCUUUAUUUUUCAUUCAAAAGAUAGGCACUAUCAACCUUAUAGCAUAAUGAGGAGGUUGGAGGUGGGUAUAGCCAGUUAAAAAUUGAGAUAGUAAGUGAAAUUCUUUUAAAUGAAGAUAGAAAGAGUAUUAUCCACCAUAAGACCCUCUACCUAGUCAUAUUUAUUAUAAUUUAUACUGCAUUUUUUAUGCGGUGCACCGAACGUUACCACAGUGUAUAUGACGGCUAAACUCGUGAUGAAAUCAGCAUGCUGCCCCAAUAUUUAGUGACCAUCAUAUUAUUGCAUUCUGCAAGAGUCCUCAAGAGUGGUAGUAUAGAUCUCACAUUAGGUGAUUGAUUGGUUGAUAUGAGAUUAAAAAUGAGUGGCAAGACAAUAUUGACCUUCUCUACUAGUUCUGUUGCACCACCUCAUCUAAAACUUUGAUCUACUAGAAAAAUGUAAAUUUUGUCUUCAAAUUCCCCCUUACAUGCAGACUGGAUUUGUGGCACAUGCGCACUUUUCAUUAAUGGUUGACAACGAGACUUGAACGCUACCUUCGUUGGCUUUCCAUAAUGAUCUAUGUCUUCAACAAGUUCCUUCAGUAUUUCCUUUAUAUUGUAACACAGACAAGCAUGAUCGAGUUCCUAGAAUGCGCCGUUAUCUAGUAGCAACUGUGAUAAUGUCUAAUCAUGAAGCUGUUUGCAGGAAAAAGUUGCUAGUGAAUUUGGUGUGCCGGUGAAAUGUCAACGUUUUUGGCUUUGGGCAAAACACCAAAACCAUACACGUCGUCUUAAUGGGCCAUUGACACAUGUUGAGGAAGGCCAAACUAUUGGACAGUUGAAGGAAGCAUCUAACAAUACUUUUGAUGAAGUGCUGAAGUUGUUCUUAGAAGUAGAGCUUGGAUCGGAUCUACAUCCUAUUCCUCCACCUAACAAGACAGAAGAUGACAUUCUACUCUUUUUCAAGCUUUAUGAUCCCGAGAUUGAGGAGCUAAGGAUUGUGGGAAGACUUUUUGUGAAGUCCACUAGUAAGCCGACUGAUAUCUUUGCUAAACUAAAUGCAAUGGUUGGCUAUGCUCCCGAUGAAGAGAUUGAACUUUACGAGGAAAUGAAGUUUGGAGCUAAUGUUGCAUGUGAACGCAUAGAGCCGAAUUCAACAUUUCAAUCUACCAAGCUUGUGGAUGGGGACAUUGUUUGCUUUCAAAGAUGUCUUCCAUUUGGAUAUCAUCUGAACUAUCAAUAUCCGGAUGUUCAUUCAUUUCUGGAAUACAAAUCUAACUGCCUGGAAAAAUCACUUCCAAUACUUGAAUGUAA
Olea europaea var. sylvestris is the source of this 1904-nucleotide long non-coding RNA. RefSeq lists it as uncharacterized. The record is from RefSeq and is a predicted model, not a curated record. Lineage: Eukaryota; Viridiplantae; Streptophyta; Magnoliopsida; Lamiales; Oleaceae. The transcript has 6 exons.